Stegostoma tigrinum is the source of this 2346-nucleotide long non-coding RNA. RefSeq lists it as uncharacterized. The record is from RefSeq and is a predicted model, not a curated record. The transcript has 3 exons. Lineage: Eukaryota; Metazoa; Chordata; Chondrichthyes; Orectolobiformes; Stegostomatidae.
UUUUGUUUCACCGCAAGGGAAACUAAAUUCAUACUAAAAUUGAAACUAAUCUGCACAUAAAAUGUAAGAACAUAGUUUCCGAAAUAAAUGUGCUAAUAGUAGUGUUCUCCGUACGUUGAACUUUGGCCUCCUCUGGACAGGUCGGUUAAAUCACGUGAUGGGAAACGUCAGCUUCGUUAAUCUUGUGUUUGCAGUUUCAAGGCUUUUCCUCGAAACGUUAAUUGACUUGCUUUCGGCUGCCAUAGAAUCACCAUAGCGUGGAACAAGUCCACACCUCCUCUCCAAAGAGCAUCCCAUCCAGGGUGCCCUUUUCCCCUGUAAUUCCCAAUGUCUGGACAAUAUGGGCAAUUUUCGGACUGUGGGAGGAAAUAGGACGCUCCCAGUGGAAACCCACGCAGAUACUGCGAGUAUGUGUGAACUCUACAUAGACGGUCGCCUGAGGGUGGAAUCGAACAGGUUAUCCCUGGUGUUCUGAGGCAAUAGUGCUAACCACCGAGCCACCGUGCCCCCAAUUCUGUUUGAUUUCUCCAACGCUCACGGUUUUCGUUUCAGGUGUUUCAUCCACAGUUCUCUGCUCUUUUUUUUGUUUCCUUUCCUCCAACUUGUUUAUCUUAGUUACUAAUAUUUGCAUACGGAUUGUAAUGGAUUGUUUCUGCAGCUGUCUUUGCUGCGUUAAAGUCGUCCAGAAAAUUGUUACAUCCCGCAUCACAGGACAAUCAUUGGAAGUGGAUAGUGGAAAAGAAAAUCCUCAUCUAGCAAGAUUCCCCACAGUGUGGAAACAGGCCCUUUGAUCCAACAAGUCCACACUGCCCUUUGGAGCAUCCCACACACCCCUGAACACAUGCAAUUUAGCCUAGCUGAUCCACCUAGCCUGCACAUCUUUGGACUGUGGGAGGAAACUGGAGCACCUGGAGGAAACCUACACAGACAUGGGAAGAAUGUGCAAACUCCACACAGACUGGAGGCUGGAAUCAAACCUGAGAACCUGGUGCUGUGAGGCUGCAGUGCUAGCCACUGUGCCACCCAUAUUAUUGCACUUUUUUUUUCUACUCACCCACAAGAACAGAGAUAUCAGCAGCAAAGUCAGCUAAUGUUGUGGUAGGAGUCAAUUUAGUUAUGUGUUCAAGUUCUGUCUGAAAUAGACAAUCGCAUUACUUUGGUCUCGAGAUGCUUCUAGGUAAAACCUUGACUAAGGCAACAGAUUUCCUUUCCUAAAGGAUAUUAUUAACUUUUUUAUUGCAGAUUGAUUUAAUUAACUGACUUUAAAUUCCCUAGCUACUGUGAUGGGAUUUGAGCACAUAUCAUCAGAUCAUAAUCCCUAGAUUAGUAGUCUAUUAACACAACCAUUAUGCUAACAUUCACAAUUUUUAAUUUGUGAUGGAAUAAAUAAUGAGGCAAAUUUUCCCAAAGGCUGCCAAUUUCAAUUUUGACCAUGUCAAAAUGGUUUACUUUUAGGACAGGUAAAUUAAAAUUAAGUAGGAUACCCUUCUUAAAAUUGAUUCUACAAUCAGUGUUGUAAGAGCAUUGCCUAAAUUUGAGAUAGCUUGAUGCCAAGAACUUGUCCAAAAAAUGUCAAGACAUAAAAAUAAUAGACUGCAAAGGUUCUGAAAGUGUCUAGUUUAACAAAUGUUUACUCAUCAAUUGGUCUUGGAAAAACUUCCUCCCUAUUCCCAAAUUAACAAGGAUAAGUAAGUUGUGGUGCUUCUAUCGUUAGUUCUGAUGAAGAAUUACUAGCCUUGAAACCUUAACUUUGCUUUCUUCCCAUAGAUUCUGCCACACUUGCUGGGUUUCAUCAGCAAUUUCUGUUUUUUCCUUCGGUUUCAGAUCUUAAGCCUCUGCAAUUUUUUGCUUUAUUACAUACACUGAGCAUAUUAGCUUGUGAUGAACUGUUAUUUGCAGAGAUGGAGGAUAAAUAUUUUUUAAAACGUUGAACAGUUUAAAAGAAUUUCAAGUGUAUUUUUUGCUUUAUUACAUACACUGAGCAUAUUAGCUUGUGAUGAACUGUUAUUUGCAGAGAUGGAGGAUAAAUAUUUUUUAAAACGUUGAACAGUUUAAAAGAAUUUCAAGUGUAUGGUUAACUGUCUGCACUCUAAUGCCCAUGAAAGUGACUUCUCCACUUUAUCUUUGUUACUGUGGCUUUAGAAAGCAAUAAAUAGCCUAUCAGUAAUGCAAUGUACAAAGUCAUCUUUCUAGUGAUUGUUGAUCCAUUCUGCAGGAUGUUUCUCUCUUUUAGCUAGCGAGUAUCCUACUAUGAACAAGAGUACUAUUCUUUGAAAUUGAUGAAUUCUCAAUGCCUUGAGUUCUGCCGCUGUACUCACAUCCGUGCAUCUGACAGGAAAAUGUAAA